Molecule: ribosomal RNA, 253 nt
Filed under: uncultured bacterium
Lineage: Bacteria
Description: partial 16S ribosomal RNA
Rfam family: Bacterial small subunit ribosomal RNA
Source: RNAcentral
UACGUAGGGUGCAAGCGUUAAUCGGAAUUACUGGGCGUAAAGCGUGCGCAGGCGGCUUUGCAGGACAGAUGUGAAAUCCCCGGGCUUAACCUGGGAACUGCAUUUGUGACUGCAUGGCUAGAGUGCGGCAGAGGGGGAUGGAAUUCCGCGUGUAGCAGUGAAAUGCGUAGAUAUGCGGAGGAACACCGAUGGCGAAGGCAAUCCCCUGGGCCUGCACUGACGCUCAUGCACGAAAGCGUGGGGAGCAAACAGG